UGGGAUUCCAUUUAUGUUUAAAUUUCGCUGCAAAUUGUGGAGAGAGAGAGAGAGUAAGGGUUAGGAAUGGAGAGAGUGGCAUCCAUGGCGAAGGCAGCCGUGCAUAAAGCCAGAUCAUAUUGCUCUCCGAUCAAAUACUUCAUACUCAUGGGUGCCAGUAUGCGCCCCACCUUCGAUGACUUCAACAUCGUUUUGGUUGAAAAGAUAUCAAUCCUCCGCGGCAAAGUCGACCGGGGUGACAUCGUCAUAAUGGUUAGCCCCGACCAAUCGACGACGUUCCUAACCAAGAGGAUCAAGGCUCUCGGGGGCGACGUCGUUUCUUAUGCUCCCCCCAAUAAUCUCCCUCGCGGAUAUACUGAUCUCAACAAGACUCUUGUACCAAAUGGGCACCUUUGGGUCGAAGGGGAUAAUUUGCUCAACAGUAGAGAUUCCAGGCAUUUCGGUGCAGUUCCUUACGAGCAUCUACGCUAUAGAGUAUUUGCUGUGGUGUGGCCACCUAGCGAAUGCAGAUUGAUAAGCAACAAGAUUGAAUAACUCUGUCUUGAAAGGUGCACUUCCAUAGCACUUAAAUCUUUCUUCAGUCAACCUUGUUUGGGCAUUCUUCGAUUUGUUAUUGUUCACAUCCAUCGAUGGCAUACAUUUCUAAACACCUGUAUGAGAUUAUGAAUAAGUAAGAAAAUUCUGUUCUUGUUUUAUUGCUAUGAUACAUGUGAACUCUGAUAUUCAUUCCGGUGGAACUUGCAGUUUCUGCUCUCUACAUGAAUCUUACCUUGCUUCACUUGAGAGCUAUCGAAUAAAGACUCAAACAAGCUGUUGGAGGAGAGAAGAGAUGUGGAUGAGCCAACCCCCUUUUGGAUAUAGUUUGCCAUACAGCAACAGAAUGUGCUAUUUGGAGCCUUGGAAAUUACUAGUUGGCAGAACUGAUUCAAUGGUCUUUGUUUUUCUAAAAAGUGUUUGUUCCCUUUUGUAAAUUUGGGCUGGAAAAUAAAGAAACUAUGGAAAUCUCA
Non-coding RNA from Salvia hispanica, 1007 nucleotides. NCBI's taxonomy places the organism in Eukaryota, Viridiplantae, Streptophyta, Magnoliopsida, Lamiales, Lamiaceae. The record is from RefSeq and is a predicted model, not a curated record.